AAAUAGAACAAGCUUCAAUCAUAUGAGCACAGAAAACAAACAAAUAAGGAAACUUUAAGUUCUUGCAUAACAGAAGAUACUAUCCAAAUUUUAGGUUCUGGACAUAUAGCAAUAGCACCCCAUAAUAAAACCAUAGAUAAUCUAAACCAAAAGAAUUCAAAAGUAAAAGCCCUUUAACAUAAGGGAAUGCAAAAUACCCUCUAGAAGACAAGCUCAUGCAGUUUCAUGCCAGACUUGAGAGAAAACCU
This 248-nucleotide long non-coding RNA is filed under the name Gossypium raimondii (Peruvian cotton). RNAcentral describes it as "long non-coding RNA (GRAI_LNC010452)". Lineage: Eukaryota; Viridiplantae; Streptophyta; Magnoliopsida; Malvales; Malvaceae. The record is from RNAcentral.